AGUGAACGCUGGCGGUAGGCCUAACACAUGCAAGUCGAACGGCAGCACAGUAAGAGCUUGCUCUUACGGGUGGCGAGUGGCGGACGGGUGAGGAAUACAUCGGAAUCUACUUUUUCGUGGGGGAUAACGUAGGGAAACUUACGCUAAUACCGCAUACGACCUACGGGUGAAAGCAGGGGAUCUUCGGACCUUGCGCGAUUGAAUGAGCCGAUGUCGGAUUAGCUAGUUGGCGGGGUAAAGGCCCACCAAGGCGACGAUCCGUAGCUGGUCUGAGAGGAUGAUCAGCCACACUGGAACUGAGACACGGUCCAGACUCCUACGGGAGGCAGCAGUGGGGAAUAUUGGAUAAUGGGCGCAAGCCUGAUCCAGCCAUACCGCGUGGGUGAAGAAGGUCUUCGGGUUGUAAAGCCCUUUUGUUGGGAAAGAAAAGCAGCAGGUUAAUACCCCGCUGUUCUGACGGUACCCAAAGAAUAAGCACCGGCUAACUUCGUG
RNAcentral lists this ribosomal RNA (492 nucleotides) under uncultured bacterium. Its description in RNAcentral is "partial 16S ribosomal RNA". It matches the Rfam family "Bacterial small subunit ribosomal RNA", at positions 29 to 507 of the family's 1533-position model. The record is from RNAcentral.